This 165-nucleotide ribosomal RNA is filed under the name Salmonella enterica. RNAcentral describes it as "partial 23S ribosomal RNA". It matches the Rfam family "Bacterial large subunit ribosomal RNA", at positions 1 to 166 of the family's 2925-position model. Lineage: Bacteria; Pseudomonadati; Pseudomonadota; Gammaproteobacteria; Enterobacterales; Enterobacteriaceae. The record is from RNAcentral. RNAcentral also lists the same sequence under 2 other names.
GGUUAAGCGACUAAGCGUACACGGUGGAUGCCCUGGCAGUCAGAGGCGAUGAAGGACGUGCUAAUCUGCGAUAAGCGCCGGUAAGGUGAUAUGAACCGUUAUAACCGGCGAUUUCCGAAUGGGGAAACCCAGUGUGAUUCGUCACACUAUCAUUAACUGAAUCCA